GGUCCAGUGGCGCAGUUGGAGCGCACCGAGUUUGAAUGCUGCAUUUAUGACUCCUUUCACUCGGAGGUCGCUGUUCAACUCAGGGCUGGGUCG
This is a non-coding RNA of Mycena vulgaris, 93 nucleotides long. NCBI's taxonomy places the organism in Eukaryota, Fungi, Basidiomycota, Agaricomycetes, Agaricales, Mycenaceae. The record is from the annotation of a GenBank genome assembly.